This 301-nucleotide ribosomal RNA is filed under the name uncultured bacterium. RNAcentral's name for it is "partial 16S ribosomal RNA". It matches the Rfam family "Bacterial small subunit ribosomal RNA", at positions 509 to 807 of the family's 1533-position model. The record is from RNAcentral.
CAGCCGCCACGGUAAUACGUAGGGUGCAAGCGUUAAUCGGAAUUACUGGGCGUAAAGCGUGCGCAGGCGGUUAUAUAAGACAGAUGUGAAAUCCCCGGGCUCAACCUGGGAACUGCAUUUGUGACUGUAUAGCUAGAGUACGGCAGAGGGGGAUGGAAUUCCGCGUGUAGCAGUGAAAUGCGUAGAUAUGCGGAGGAACACCGAUGGCGAAGGCAAUCCCCUGGGCCUGUACUGACGCUUAUGCACGAAAGCGUGGGGAGCAAACAGGAUUAGAUACCCGGGUAGUCCCUGUCUCUUAUAC